CAGUCGCCGCGGGAAUACGUAGGUGACAAGCGUUGUCCGGAAUUAUUGGGCGUAAAGGGCUCGCAGGCGGUUUCUUAAGUCUGAUGUGAAAGCCCCCGGCUCAACCGGGGAGGGUCAUUGGAAACUGGGAAACUUGAGUGCAGAAGAGGAGAGUGGAAUUCCACGUGUAGCGGCGAAAUGCGUAGAGAUGUGGAGGAACACCAGUGGCGAAGGCGACUCUCUGGUCUGUAACUGACGCUGAGGAGCGAAAGCGUGGGGAGCGAACAGGAUUAGAUACCCCAGUAGUCCCUGUCUCUUAUAC
Molecule: ribosomal RNA, 301 nt
Filed under: uncultured bacterium
Lineage: Bacteria
Description: partial 16S ribosomal RNA
Rfam family: Bacterial small subunit ribosomal RNA
Source: RNAcentral